RNAcentral lists this ribosomal RNA (523 nucleotides) under Saccocirrus pussicus. RNAcentral describes it as "partial 16S ribosomal RNA". It matches the Rfam family "Bacterial large subunit ribosomal RNA", at positions 1798 to 2596 of the family's 2925-position model. Lineage: Eukaryota; Metazoa; Annelida; Polychaeta; Saccocirridae. The record is from RNAcentral.
GCCUGUUUAUCAAAAACAUUGCCUCUUGAUUUAUUAUAAAAGGUAAGUCCUGCCCAGUGAUUUCUUCAACGGCCGCGGUACCCUGACCGUGCAAAGGUAGCAUAAUCAUUUGCCCUUUAAUUGUGGGCUAGUAUGAACGGAUAAACGAAAGUCCAGCUGUCUCAUUUACUCACAUAAAAAUUAACUUGUAGGUGCAGAGGCCUAUAUUGUACUAAAAGACAAAAAGACCCUAUCGAGCUUUUCUUACCCGUGGGUAGUCCUUUACUUUUUAAAAAUUAGGCUCCCCACUCAUAAGUUUUGUUGGGGCGACACGGGAGCACAAAGAACCUCCCUAGUAUAAAAGGAUAAUCCUCUUUCACUUGACCCAGGAUGACUGAUCAAGAAACAAAGCUACCGUAGGGAUAACAGGCUAAUUCUCUCCGAGAGUCCAUAUUGACGAGAGAGUUUGGCACCUCGAUGUUGGCUUAGAGUUCCCCUACCUCGCAGAAGAUUUAGCGGUUGGUUUGUUCAACCAUUAAAACUC